GACGAACGCUGGCGGCGUGCCUAAUACAUGCGAGUCGAACGCUUCUUUCCUCCCGAGUGCUUGCACUCAAUUGGAAAGAGGAGUGGCGGACGGGUGAGUAACACGUGGGUAACCUACCCAUCAGAGGGGGAUAACACUUGGAAACAGGUGCUAAUACCGCAUAACAGUUUAUGCCGCAUGGCAUAAGAGUGAAAGGCGCUUUCGGGUGUCGCUGAUGGAUGGACCCGCGGUGCAUUAGCUAGUUGGUGAGGUAACGGCUCACCAAGGCCACGAUGCAUAGCCGACCUGAGAGGGUGGUCGGCCACACUGGGACUGAGACACGGCCCAGACUCCUACGGGAGGCAGCAGUAGGGAAUCUUCGGCAAUGGACGAAAGUCUGACCGAGCAACGCCGCGUGAGUGAAGAAGGUUUUCGGAUCGUAAAACUCUGUUGUUAGAGAAGAACAAGGACGUUAGUAACUGAACGUCCCCUGACGGUAUCUAACCAGAAAGCCACGGCUAACUACGUG
RNAcentral lists this ribosomal RNA (508 nucleotides) under uncultured bacterium. Its description in RNAcentral is "partial 16S ribosomal RNA". It matches the Rfam family "Bacterial small subunit ribosomal RNA", at positions 28 to 507 of the family's 1533-position model. The record is from RNAcentral.